GCUGCAGCGUGACUAGCUACUGAAUCAAAGAGUUAAAAAUUAACUCCUGAUGUCGUAAGGGAAAAUAAUGAUAAUACCUUACUAUUAGUGUCGUCCAAAUCUGGUGCCAGAAGACUCGGUAAGACCAGAGACGCAAACGUUAAUCAUCAUAAUCAGGCGUAAAGGGUUUGUAGGCAGCCUCCCCUCCCUCCCCGGCAAAUCCGGGGCUGCGGAUAUGGAGAGCUAGAAUCAAAAAGAGGUUAUAGUGUAUAACGUCUAGAGGAGGUCUGAUAUCCGUAGAUACUAGGCAGAAUACUCAGGGCGAAGGCCACUCUCCACUAAUGAUUGACGCUGAGAAACGAAGGUUAGGGUAGGAAAUAGGAUUAGAUACCCCGGUACUCCUUUCUGUAAACGAUGAAUGGUAGUCAUUAGUUUAUUACUAGAGACGAAGUUAACACAAUAACCAUUCCGCCUUGUGAGUACUACUGCAAAGUAGAAAACAAAAAAAUUAGUCGGUCUCGAAGCAAACGGAGUGAAGCAUGUUAUUUAUA
RNAcentral lists this ribosomal RNA (530 nucleotides) under Favolus rugulosus. RNAcentral's name for it is "SSU rRNA". It matches the Rfam family "Bacterial small subunit ribosomal RNA", at positions 385 to 950 of the family's 1533-position model. Lineage: Eukaryota; Fungi; Basidiomycota; Agaricomycetes; Polyporales; Polyporaceae. The record is from RNAcentral.